RNAcentral lists this ribosomal RNA (924 nucleotides) under uncultured bacterium. RNAcentral describes it as "bacterial SSU rRNA". It matches the Rfam family "Bacterial small subunit ribosomal RNA", at positions 1 to 908 of the family's 1533-position model. The record is from RNAcentral.
ACGAAUUCGCCCUUAGAGUUUGAUCCUGGCUCAGGAUGAACGCUAGCUACAGGCUUAACACAUGCAAGUCGAGGGGAAACGACAUCGAAAGCUUGCUUUUGAUGGGCGUCGACCGGCGCACGGGUGAGUAACGCGUAUCCAACCUGCCCACCACUUGGGGAUAACCUUGCGAAAGUAAGACUAAUACCCAAUGAUAUCUCUAGAAGACAUCUGAAAGAGAUUAAAGAUUUAUCGGUGAUGGAUGGGGAUGCGUCUGAUUAGCUUGUUGGCGGGGUAACGGCCCACCAAGGCAACGAUCAGUAGGGGUUCUGAGAGGAAGGUCCCCCACAUUGGAACUGAGACACGGUCCAAACUCCUACGGGAGGCAGCAGUGAGGAAUAUUGGUCAAUGGACGAGAGUCUGAACCAGCCAAGUAGCGUGCAGGAUGACGGCCCUAUGGGUUGUAAACUGCUUUUAUAAGGGAAUAAAGUGAGUCUCGUGAGACUUUUUGCAUGUACCUUAUGAAUAAGGACCGGCUAAUUCCGUGCCAGCAGCCGCGGUAAUACGGAAGGUCCGGGCGUUAUCCGGAUUUAUUGGGUUUAAAGGGAGCGUAGGCCGGAGAUUAAGCGUGUUGUGAAAUGUAGACGCUCAACGUCUGCACUGCAGCGCGAACUGGUUUCCUUGAGUACGCACAAAGUGGGCGGAAUUCGUGGUGUAGCGGUGAAAUGCUUAGAUAUCACGAAGAACUCCGAUUGCGAAGGCAGCUCACUGGAGCGCAACUGACGCUGAAGCUCGAAAGUGCGGGUAUCGAACAGGAUUAGAUACCCUGGUAGUCCGCACGGUAAACGAUGGAUGCCCGCUGUUGGUCUGAAUAGGUCAGCGGCCAAGCGAAAGCAUUAAGCAUCCCACCUGGGGAGUACGCCGGCAACGGUGAAACUCAAAGGA